ACAAGCGGUGGAGCAUGUGGUUUAAUUCGUAUGAUACGCGAAGAACCUUACCGGGGUUUGACGUGCAGGUGAUCGCCGUUGAAAGACGGUUUCCUCUUCGGAGGCACCUGCACAGGUGCUGCAUGGCUGUCGUCAGCUCGUGUCGUGAGAUGUUGGGUUAAGUCCCGCAACGAGCGCAACCCUUGUCCUUAGUUGCCAGCCAUUAAGUUGGGCACUCUAAGGAGACUGCCGGUGUUUAAACCGGAGGAAGGUGGGGAUGACGUCAAGUCCUCAUGGCCUUUAUGACCAGGGCUACACACGUACUACAAUGGCCGGUACAAAGGGCAGCCACUUAGCGAUAAGGAGCCAAUCCCGUAAAGCCGGUCUCAGUCCGGAUUGGAGUCUGCAACUCGACUCCAUGAAGUUGGAAUCGCUAGUAAUCGCAGAUCAGCACGCUCGCGGUCGAAUACGUUCCGGGCCUU
This 461-nucleotide ribosomal RNA is filed under the name uncultured Desulfocapsa sp. RNAcentral's name for it is "bacterial SSU rRNA". It matches the Rfam family "Bacterial small subunit ribosomal RNA", at positions 925 to 1382 of the family's 1533-position model. Lineage: Bacteria; Pseudomonadati; Thermodesulfobacteriota; Desulfobulbia; Desulfobulbales; Desulfocapsaceae. The record is from RNAcentral.